Molecule: ribosomal RNA, 251 nt
Filed under: uncultured prokaryote
Description: partial 16S rRNA
Rfam family: Bacterial small subunit ribosomal RNA
Source: RNAcentral
ACGAAGGGGGCUAGCGUUGUUCGGAAUCACUGGGCGUAAAGCGUACGUAGGCGGACGAAUAAGUCAGGGGUGAAAGCCUGGAGCUCAACUCCAGAACUGCCUUUGAUACUGUUUGUCUUGAGUCCGGGAGAGGUGAGUGGAACUGCUAGUGUAGAGGUGAAAUUCGUAGAUAUUAGCAAGAACACCAGUGGCGAAGGCGGCUCACUGGCCCGGUACUGACGCUGAGGUACGAAAGCGUGGGGAGCAAACAG